AGAGGGACUGGAGGAAAGUAUCCAUGAUUGUUCUUUUGGUGACACCAGCAAUAGCAAAGAUAUGGAUUAUUACUCCUGUCCUCGUACCAAAGCAUAAAUGGGUGGGAUCGAUCAAAGUAAAGGUCUUUUUUUACUCUUGGAUGAAUUGUCAAAAUUGAAUGUGGUGUCCGUGAAGCACACUGAAAUCAGCGCACACACUUUCUACUGUUUCCCCGGCAAGCAUUAAUUGGGAUUGGGAACAACCACGUUAAUAGUAGCUGUGGUCGCUGAAGGCGUGUUUCUGGUCGUGUUCACAUCUAUAUGUAGUAAUUAUUGCCCCCAUGCAGGUAUUAAAAGAGGUUCUCCAGGGUUGUCUUCUCCUAUCACUGCCGCUCAUUUAUGCCUGAUACUAUUUGAGCUUUUUAACAUUCAAAUCUGCAGGCUGCCUUUGACUUUUAAUUUUCCUGGUCAGUUACAAAUGUAAAUUUUAACAUAGAAUAAUAACUAAAAAGAAAAAUGUAAUAGCAGUACUGUCGGCUUUCAAAAUGUAAAGUCUGUUGAUUGAAGUUCCAGUGGCCACACCUGCAAUCAAGUCUCAAGUCUUGAGUCUCAUCGACACAUCUCUACUCUUCCAAAUAUUUAGAACGAUAAUAAGUUUGGAGGGUCUAAGGGCAAAACCUAAAUUACAGGAUGCUAAAUGAUUGUACUAUACAAUUAAUACUGUAGAUCUGGAAUAGCAACCUAAGAUGGUUAUUCAUAUAUUUCUCAACUUGAAAAUGAUAUAUGAAUAAAAUCAUGGCCACUCAGCAGGCCCCGAAGUCCCGUAACGACAGCCGGCCCUUGUCCGGCAAGUUCCCGGCGUGUCGAAGGCCCAAGGUAAGGGAGACAUCACCAGCGGGUGUCCCUAG
Molecule: long non-coding RNA, 887 nt
Filed under: Vitis vinifera (wine grape)
Lineage: Eukaryota; Viridiplantae; Streptophyta; Magnoliopsida; Vitales; Vitaceae
Description: long non-coding RNA (VVIN_LNC006050)
Source: RNAcentral